RNAcentral lists this ribosomal RNA (292 nucleotides) under uncultured eukaryote. RNAcentral describes it as "partial 18S ribosomal RNA". It matches the Rfam family "Eukaryotic small subunit ribosomal RNA", at positions 6 to 295 of the family's 1831-position model. The record is from RNAcentral.
GGUUGAUCCUGCCAGUAGUCAUAUGCUUGUCUUAAAGACUAAGCCAUGCAUGUCUAAGUAUAAAUAUUAUACAGUGAAACUGCGAAUGGCUCAUUAAAACAGUUAUAGUUUAUUCGAUAAUUUCUCCUACAUGGAUAACCGUAGUAAUUCUAGAGCUAAUACAUGCUGUCAAACCUGACUUCUUGGAAGGGUUGUAUUUAUUAGAUAUCUCAUUAGCAACUGGCUGGCUAAGUUUGGAUGGAGUGAAAUAAGUCAAAUUUUGAUAAAAUAUAUGAUCCAUAUUUUAAGGUAU